This 56-nucleotide transfer RNA is filed under the name Salvelinus malma malma. RNAcentral's name for it is "partial tRNA-Thr". It matches the Rfam family "tRNA", at positions 18 to 71 of the family's 71-position model. Rfam says of the family: Transfer RNA (tRNA) molecules are approximately 80 nucleotides in length. Their secondary structure includes four short double-helical elements and three loops (D, anti-codon, and T loops). Further hydrogen bonds mediate the characteristic L-shaped molecular structure. tRNAs have two regions of fundamental functional importance: the anti-codon, which is responsible for specific mRNA codon recognition, and the 3' end, to which the tRNAs corresponding amino acid is attached (by aminoacyl-tRNA synthetases). tRNAs cope with the degeneracy of the genetic code in two manners: having more than one tRNA (with a specific anti-codon) for a particular amino acid; and 'wobble' base-pairing, i.e. permitting non-standard base-pairing at the 3rd anti-codon position. The record is from RNAcentral. Lineage: Eukaryota; Metazoa; Chordata; Actinopteri; Salmoniformes; Salmonidae.
GCCAGAGCGCCGGUCUUGUAAUCCGGAAGUCGGAGGUUAAAACCCUCCCUAGUGCU